GUUGGGUAGGGGAGCGUUCUGUAAGCCUGCGAAGGUGGCCUGUGAGGGUUGCUGGAGGUAUCAGAAGUGCGAAUGCUGACAUAAGUAACGAUAAAGCGGGUGAAAAGCCCGCUCGCCGGAAGACCAAGGGUUCCUGUCCAACGUUAAUCGGGGCAGGGUGAGUCGACCCCUAAGGCGAGGCCGAAAGGCGUAGUCGAUGGGAAACGGGUUAAUAUUCCCGUACUUGGUGUUACUGCGAAGGGGGGACGGAGAAGGCUAUGUUGGCCGGGCGACGGUUGUCCCGGUUUAAGCGUGUAGGUGUGUGUUCCAGGUAAAUCCGGUUCACUUUAACACUGAGGCGUGAUGACGAGGCACUACGGUGCUGAAGCAACAAAUGCCCUGCUUCCAGGAAAAGCCUCUAAGCAUCAGGUAACAUCAAAUCGUACCCCAAACCGACACAGGUGGUCAGGUAGAGAAUACCAAGGCGCUUGAGAGAACUCGGGUGAAGGAACUAGGCAAAAUGGUGCCGUAACUUCGGGAGAAGGCACGCUGACACGUAGGUGAAGUGAUUUACUCAUGGAGCUGAAGUCAGUCGAAGAUACCAGCUGGCUGCAACUGUUUAUUAAAAACACAGCACUGUGCAAACACGAAAGUGGACGUAUACGGUGUGACGCCUGCCCGGUGCCGGAAGGUUAAUUGAUGGGGUCAGCGCAAGCGAAGCUCCUGAUCGAAGCCCCGGUAAACGGCGGCCGUAACUAUAACGGUCCUAAGGUAGCGAAAUUCCUUGUCGGGUAAGUUCCGACCUGCACGAAUGGCGUAAUGAUGGCCAGGCUGUCUCCACCCGAGACUCAGUGAAAUUGAACUCGCUGUGAAGAUGCAGUGUACCCGCGGCAAGACGGAAAGACCCCGUGAACCUUUACUAUAGCUUGACACUGAACAUUGAGCCUUGAUGUGUAGGAUAGGUGGGAGGCUUUGAAGUGUGGACGCCAGUCUGCAUGGAGCCGACCUUGAAAUACCACCCUUUAAUGUUUGAUGUUCUAACGUGGACCCGUGAUCCGGGUUGCGGACAGUGUCUGGUGGGUAGUUUGACUGGGGCGGUCUCCUCCUAAAGAGUAACGGAGGAGCACGAAGGUUGGCUAAUCCUGGUCGGACAUCAGGAGGUUAGUGCAAUGGCAUAAGCCAGCUUGACUGCGAGCGUGACGGCGCGAGCAGGUGCGAAAGCAGGUCAUAGUGAUCCGGUGGUUCUGAAUGGAAGGGCCAUCGCUCAACGGAUAAAAGGUACUCCGGGGAUAACAGGCUGAUACCGCCCAAGAGUUCAUAUCGACGGCGGUGUUUGGCACCUCGAUGUCGGCUCAUCACAUCCUGGGGCUGAAGUAGGUCCCAAGGGUAUGGCUGUUCGCCAUUUAAAGUGGUACGCGAGCUGGGUUUAGAACGUCGUGAGACAGUUCGGUCCCUAUCUGCCGUGGGCGCUGGAGAACUGAGGGGGGCUGCUCCUAGUACGAGAGGACCGGAGUGGACGCAUCACUGGUGUUCGGGUUGUCAUGCCAAUGGCACUGCCCGGUAGCUAAAUGCGGAAGAGAUAAGUGCUGAAAGCAUCUAAGCACGAAACUUGCCCCGAGAUGAGUUCUCCCUGAGACUUAGAGUCUCCUGAAGGAACGUUGAAGACGACGACGUUGAUAGGCCGGGUGUGUAAGCGCAGCGAUGCGUUGAGCUAACCGGUACUAAUGAACCGUGAGGCUUAACCUUACAACGCCGAAG
This 1737-nucleotide ribosomal RNA is filed under the name Salmonella enterica subsp. enterica serovar Anatum. RNAcentral describes it as "bacterial LSU rRNA". It matches the Rfam family "Bacterial large subunit ribosomal RNA", at positions 1223 to 2925 of the family's 2925-position model. Lineage: Bacteria; Pseudomonadati; Pseudomonadota; Gammaproteobacteria; Enterobacterales; Enterobacteriaceae. The record is from RNAcentral.